GGGCCCGCACAAGCGGUGGAGCAUGUGGUUUAAUUCGAUGAUACGCGAGGAACCUUACCAGGGCUUAAAUGUUAGGUGACAGAUCUAGAAAUAGAUUUUUCUUCGGACACUUAACAAGGUGCUGCAUGGUUGUCGUCAGCUCGUGCCGUGAGGUGUCAGGUUAAGUCCUAUAACGAGCGCAACCCCUGUUGUUAGUUGCCAGCGAGUAAUGUCGGGAACUCUAGCAAGACUGCCAGUGCAAACUGUGAGGAAGGUGGGGAUGACGUCAAAUCAUCACGGCCCUUACGUCCUGGGCUACACACGUGCUACAAUGGUAUCUACAACAGGAAGCAAGACGGCGACGUUAAG
This 348-nucleotide ribosomal RNA is filed under the name uncultured bacterium. RNAcentral's name for it is "bacterial SSU rRNA". It matches the Rfam family "Bacterial small subunit ribosomal RNA", at positions 917 to 1267 of the family's 1533-position model. The record is from RNAcentral.